Non-coding RNA from Biomphalaria pfeifferi, 74 nucleotides. Lineage: Eukaryota; Metazoa; Mollusca; Gastropoda; Planorbidae. The record is from the annotation of a GenBank genome assembly.
AAGGGGGUAGGAAGAAGGAGGUAUCUUGGUGAAUGUUAAAUGCAUAAAGAAAAUGUUUACUCAGGGCUCAAGAG